GACGAACGCUGGCGGCGUGCCUAAUACAUGCAAGUAGAACGCUGAAGGAGGAGCUUGCUUCUCUGGAUGAGUUGCGAACGGGUGAGUAACGCGUAGGUAACCUGCCUGGUAGCGGGGGAUAACUAUUGGAAACGAUAGCUAAUACCGCAUAAGAGUAGAUGUCGCAUGACAUUUGCUUAAAAGUUGCAAUUGCAUCACUACCAGAUGGACCUGCGUUGUAUUAGCUAGUUGGGGAGGUAACGGCUCACCAAGGCAACGAUACAUAGCCGACCUGAGAGGGUGAUCGGCCACACUGGGACUGAGACACGGCCCAGACUCCUACGGGAGGCAGCAGUAGGGAAUCUUCGGCAAUGGACGGAAGUCUGACCGAGCAACGCCGCGGGAGUGAAGAAGGUUUUCGGAUCGUAAAGCUCUGUUGUAAGAGAAGAACGAGUGUGAGAGUGGAAAGUUCACACUGUGACGGUAGCUUACCAGAAAGGGACGGCUAACUACGUG
RNAcentral lists this ribosomal RNA (495 nucleotides) under uncultured bacterium. Its description in RNAcentral is "partial 16S ribosomal RNA". It matches the Rfam family "Bacterial small subunit ribosomal RNA", at positions 28 to 507 of the family's 1533-position model. The record is from RNAcentral.